Molecule: small RNA, 133 nt
Filed under: Klebsiella aerogenes
Lineage: Bacteria; Pseudomonadati; Pseudomonadota; Gammaproteobacteria; Enterobacterales; Enterobacteriaceae
Also listed under: 1 other name
Description: RtT sRNA
Rfam family: RtT RNA
About the family: This family represents a bacterial cis-regulatory element known as RtT RNA. The exact function of RtT is unknown although it is thought that it may be involved in changing the cellular response in relation to amino acid starvation.
Source: RNAcentral
UAUUCUGCCCUACGGGGAAGGAUGAGAAGCUUCGACCAAGGUUCGACUCGAGCGUCAGCGAGAGAACGUUGCCGCAGGCAACGGCCCGAAGGGCGAGGAGCGAUAGCGACGAGUUAUCCUUCCCCCACCACCA